GCCUUCGUAGCGUAGUGGUCAGCACGCUGGGCUCGUAUUCGAGAGAUCCGUAGUUCGAGUCCUGGCGAAGGCG
This 73-nucleotide transfer RNA is filed under the name Stegodyphus mimosarum. It matches the Rfam family "tRNA". From Rfam's summary of the family: Transfer RNA (tRNA) molecules are approximately 80 nucleotides in length. Their secondary structure includes four short double-helical elements and three loops (D, anti-codon, and T loops). Further hydrogen bonds mediate the characteristic L-shaped molecular structure. tRNAs have two regions of fundamental functional importance: the anti-codon, which is responsible for specific mRNA codon recognition, and the 3' end, to which the tRNAs corresponding amino acid is attached (by aminoacyl-tRNA synthetases). tRNAs cope with the degeneracy of the genetic code in two manners: having more than one tRNA (with a specific anti-codon) for a particular amino acid; and 'wobble' base-pairing, i.e. permitting non-standard base-pairing at the 3rd anti-codon position. The record is from Rfam by way of RNAcentral. Lineage: Eukaryota; Metazoa; Arthropoda; Arachnida; Araneae; Eresidae.